This 2453-nucleotide ribosomal RNA is filed under the name human metagenome. RNAcentral's name for it is "bacterial LSU rRNA". It matches the Rfam family "Bacterial large subunit ribosomal RNA", at positions 1 to 2487 of the family's 2925-position model. The record is from RNAcentral.
AGAAGUAAGGCAGGGCAUACGGUGGAUGCCUUGGCUCUUGGAGGCGAUGAAGGACGCGACAAGCUGCGAAAAUCUCCCACGAGGCGCUAUAGCCUUUGACUGGGAGGAAUCCGAAUGGGGCAACCCACCUGAUUGAUGGUCAGGUAUCCUGCAAAGGAGGCAAACCCGGCGAACUGAAACAUCUCAUUAACCGGAGGAAAAGAAAACAAAAAGUGAUUCCCUAAGUAGUGGCGAGCGAACGGGGAAUAGCCCAAACCCGCAAUGUUUAGGCUUUGCGGGGGUAAUAGGGCUGGAAUACGUCGUAGAUCGAGACGAGUAGAAUGCGCUGGAAUGCACAACCAUAGGGGGUGAGAGUCCCGUAUACGAAGUAGGCAUUUACGAUAUCCAGACCCCUGAGUAGGGCGGAGCACGAGAAAUUCCGUCUGAAUUGGCCGGGCCCACCCGGUAAGGCUAAAUACUCCCAAGAGACCGAUAGCGAACCAGUACUGUGAAGGAAAGGUGAAAAGAACUCCGUGUAGGAGAGUGAAAUAGUACCUGAAACCGUAUGCCUACAAGCGGUCGGAGUCCUUCGGGAUGACGGCGUGCCUUUUGCAUAAUGAGCCUACGAGUUAUGGUAAGUGGCGAGAUUAACCGAUGAUAAUUGGGGAGUCGUAGCGAAAGCGAGUCUUAAACGGCAGCAGUCACUUGUCAUAGACGCGAAACUUUGUGAUCUACCCAUGGCCAGGUUGAAGGCGCGGUGAAACGUGCUGGAGGACCGAACUGGUUAGCGUUGAAAAGCUCUCGGAUGAGCUGUGGGUAGGGGUGAAAGGCUAAUCAAACUGAGAGAUAGCUCGUACUCCCCGAAAUGUUUUUAGGAACAGCCUUGUAUUUUAGUCGUACUGGAGGUAGAGCGACUGGUUGGACGCGAGGGCUUCACCGCCUAUCAAGUCCUGUCAAACUCCGAAUGCCAGUCCGAUUUUUGCAAGAGUGAGCCGUAGGGUGCUAAUGUCCUGCGACGAGAGGGAAAGAACCCAGACCAGCAGCUAAGGUCCCCAAGAAGGUGUUAAGUUGUUCAAACGAGGUUCGACUGCCUAGACAGCUAGGAUGUUGGCUUGGAAGCAGCCAUUCAUUCAAAGAGUGCGUAAUAGCUCACUAGUCGAGUGGUCGAGCGUGGAUAAUGAGCGGGCAUCAAACAUCUCACCGAAGCUCUGGAAGUUGUACAAGUGUACAAUAUUGGUAGGGGAGCAUUCAUACGACAGUGAAGGUGUCUUGUGAGAGAUGCUGGAGUUUUAUGAAAAGCAAAUGUAGGCAUGAGUAACGAUAAUGCGGGUGCAAAACCCGCACACCGAUAGGCCAAGGUUUCCUGAUCGCCGUUAAUCGGAUCAGGGUUAGUCGGUAUCUAAGGCGAUGACGAAAGUAUAAGCCGAUGACAAGCGAGUUAAUAUUCUAGCACUGGCCAUGGUAAUGAUGGGACGACGGAGCUGUGACAGUUCUACCUAGUGACGGAAUACUAGGUCAAAGGUUGUAGGUAUAGGUGGCGGUUAAUCCCGUUGCUUGCCGAAGCUGACAGCGACACAAUCCGCAAGGAGCGUGUUUAAAGGACGUAAGCGUACUCCCGAGAAAACUCCCUAAGUAUAUAUCAUGGGCAACCGUACCGUAAACCGACACAGGUGGCCAAGGAGAGUAUCCUGAGGUGCUCGAGUGAUUCACGGCUAAGGAACUAGGCAAAUUUAUCCUGUAACUUCGGAAUAAAGGAUCCCAAGAGCAAUCUUGGGCGCAGAGAAGUGGCUCAAGCGACUGUUUAGCAAAAACUCAUGGCUUUGCAAAAUCGAAAGAUGACGUAUAAGGCCUGACACCUGCCCGGUGCUGGAAGGUUAAGAGGAGUUGUUAGCCGCAAGGCGAAGCGACGAAUUGAAGCCCCAGUAAACGGCGGCCGUAACUAUAACGGUCCUAAGGUAGCGAAAUUCCUUGUCGGGUAAGUUCCGACCUGCACGAAUGGUGUAACGAUUUGAGCGCUGUCUCGGCCGUGAGCUCGGUGAAAUUGAAGUAGCGGUGAAGAUGCCGCUUACCCGCAACGGGACGGAGAGACCCCGUGAACCUUUACUAUAGCUUAACGCUGCUUUUGGACGAACGUUGCGUAGGAUAGGCCGGAGGCUUCGAUCUCGCACUUCUGGGUGUGAGUUAGCCGCCGUUGAAAUACGGCCCUACGUUCGUUUGGGAGCUAACCCUAAUAGGGGACACCGUUUGGUGGGUAGUUUGACUGGGGUGGUCGCCUCCAAAAGCGUAACGGAGGCUUCCCAAGGUACCCUCAGCGCGGAUGGUAAUCGCGCGUCGAGUGCAAUGGCAUAAGGGUGCUUGACUGAGAGACUGACACGUCGACCAGGUGCGAAAGCAGGGCAUAGUGAUCCGGUGGUUCCGAGUGGAAGGGCCAUCGCUCAAAGGAUAAAAGGUACUCCGGGGAUAACAGGCUGAUC